This 253-nucleotide ribosomal RNA is filed under the name uncultured bacterium. RNAcentral's name for it is "partial 16S ribosomal RNA". It matches the Rfam family "Bacterial small subunit ribosomal RNA", at positions 524 to 776 of the family's 1533-position model. The record is from RNAcentral.
UACGAGGGGGGAGAGCGUUGUUCGGAAUUAUUGGGCGGAAAGGGUGCGUAGGCGGUUUGGUAAGUCUUAUGUGAAAUCUACAGGCUCAACUUGUAGUCUGCAUGAGAAACUGCCGGGCUUGAGUAUGGGAGAGGUGAGUGGAAUUCCUGGUGUAGCGGUGAAAUGCGUAGAUAUCAGGAGGAACACCUGUGGCGAAAGCGGCUCACUGGACCAUAACUGACGCUGAUGCACGAAAGCUAGGGGAGCAAACAGG